RNAcentral lists this ribosomal RNA (162 nucleotides) under Ceriops zippeliana. RNAcentral's name for it is "5.8S ribosomal RNA". It matches the Rfam family "5.8S ribosomal RNA". Rfam says of the family: 5.8S ribosomal RNA (5.8S rRNA) is a component of the large subunit of the eukaryotic ribosome. The record is from RNAcentral. Lineage: Eukaryota; Viridiplantae; Streptophyta; Magnoliopsida; Malpighiales; Rhizophoraceae.
AACGACUCUCGGCAACAGAUAUCUCGGCUCUCGCAUCGAUGAAGAACGUAGCGAAAUGCGAUACUUGGUGUGAAUUGCAGAAUCCCGUGAACCAUCGAGUCUUUGAACGCAAGUUGCGCCCGAAGCCUUCUGGCUGAGGGCACGUCUGCCUGGGUGUCACUC